Neopsephotus bourkii (Bourke's parrot) is the source of this 908-nucleotide long non-coding RNA. RefSeq lists it as uncharacterized. Lineage: Eukaryota; Metazoa; Chordata; Aves; Psittaciformes; Psittacidae. The transcript has 2 exons. The record is from RefSeq and is a predicted model, not a curated record.
GCAGGAGCUGCUCCUGGAUGCCCUGGGGGUGUUUCUCUUUGCGAGUCUGUUGGUUUAGGAAUGAAAUUCGCUCGGGUUUGUCGCGUUGUUUGUUCUGGCGCUGGCUUUGGAAACGCUCCAAGGGUGUUGGCUAAACAGAAGCUAAUUAGUUGCUGGUGCUUGGUUUUGCCCAGCACAGGCUGGGGUAGGAGCCUCUCCUCCCCGUCCUGCCCCAUUCCCUGCUGGGGCUGCAGCUGCUUCUGCCUCACAGCUCACUCCCAUUCUUCACCGCCACAACCAGAGCCCUCAUGUUUGUGCUCAGCCUGGUUUCAGGCAGGACUGAAAAGCCCGAUUUAACAAGAAAAAGCUGUUCCAAAUGUGAUUUCUUCAUACACGCAUGGCCAUGGUGUGCAUCCCUUGUGGGAAUUUUGCUAAAGCAGCCUCUUUCUGCUCUCUCCAGAUGAGCAGAGCUCGGAUCUGUUCUUCUCACACCUUCCUGCCUGAGGUUAUGCCUAUGGAGGACAGCUGGGAGCAGUCCUCAUCAUCAGCCCUGUGCCCGCAUCCUGCUUCAGGAGCAGCCGGAGGAGCCCUCCUGGUAUGGAGGUGCUUGGACCAGGCUUUCCCACCAGCCCCAGCAGGGUCCCACCUUCAUAAACCUAGACGGUGUAUGGGGGGGGGGGGGGGGCUGUUGUCUGGGACCCUCUUUGCUGCUGGAGCCAAUCCUAUAUCCAACACGCUCACUGUUUGUCCUUGGAGCUUGCUCAAGAGGCUGCGCGCUCCCUCGGAUGCCCCCAGAAGGGAUGUUGGGAGCAGGAAUAAUCACCACAGAGCCAAGGACUCUGCUGUUCUCUUGUUACUCCGCAUUCGGAGAAACCACAGGGCUGGGAGAGGGGAAGAAAAAAGAUGAGAUUAAACUAAUGAGCAGGUAA